Molecule: long non-coding RNA, 2483 nt
Organism: Gavialis gangeticus (Gharial)
Lineage: Eukaryota; Metazoa; Chordata; Crocodylia; Gavialidae
Exons: 4
Source: RefSeq, a predicted model, not a curated record
CCUCUUUCCCUUGCAGCCUCCAGCACUGCAGGUCUGGGAAGCAGCGAUUUAGAGGCUGUGCCCCUCACUGCCCUGCUCCAUCGCAACAGGAAUGUAUCCGGUCCCUUGGUGAAUCUGGCUACCCUGUCCACUUCCACUGCCUGUGGUGGCAACGAGUCCCACCCAUUAAUGACACCCUGGGUAUUGUAGCACAUAUGGUAGACAACAUCAGCCCAUAUGGAAGGUAACAUCAUCUAUGGUUAGAGGUACUCCGUUUAAUACCAGGCUUGAAAUGGAAGAACAAUUAAAAAGGAAACCUCUGAGUGUACAUGUGCUGGAAUCUCUGGCCCUGGUUUUGCAGAUUGUUGACGAGAGUGUAAAGUUACUCAUACAGACUUCCUGAUGCAAGUGCUGGUGGAUGUUUACGAUAUCAGCAGUGGUACUGAUUGAAUGCUGGUUAUAUGGAUAAUUUGGAUGCCCUAUUGCUAUUCAUUUAAAAAUCACUUUCUUCAACAAAGUUAAGAAUCUGUCGACUGUAUGAACUUUCAAUUUUGGGACAUACAUCACCAUUAAGGCAUGCAUAUCCCGAUGGCAACAUGCCAUAGGAUGAAGUGAGAAAUUAAAUGGCUCAAUGGUGUGAGAAGACAGAGCAUCAGCAUUAAAUUUGAUUUUCCUGGUUUUUGUCACUUGGUCAGACCCUUACCGCUUAAUUUUCAUAGGCGUUGCUCAAGGUUUUAGCUGCAUGAUUCUGAUUGACUUGAAUAGUAACAUCUCAGUAAAUCCUGCACAGCCCUGCAUAUUUAGAUGGUAAUGCCAAUCACAUAGAAAGGUUGGCUUAGGCAUUGGCUGGAAAACAUAUCUAUAUCUUUUAUUACUAGCUUGGUGUGACAUUGUCUGAGCUGGGUUGCUGUAUUAUACAGGGUUGUUUGCAGAUUGCUCAUUAACAUGUCAUAACAUGAAUGUUAAUGUUUAAUUAAUAAAUUCAAUAUCCCUUCUUUCCCACAGUUGUUUUACUGACUGCUGUGUAGCUUUUUAUGUGGCUCUGCAUAGACAAACUUUGGAGUUUUCUUCCUAGGACACCAAGAGCUAAAACAAUUCUUGUGCAUUUUCACAUAUUCAGUGCACUAGAUCUGGUUUUGAAAUGUUUUUUUCUAACAACUACAAAAAAAGAGACUUAAUUUGAAAUAGGUGGAAUAUUUUGCUUUUCCUGGAGAUGUCCAGGUAUGCAAAUACUUACAGUAAAGGAGUUUAUUUCAGAAUGAUAACCUUAAAGAAAGUCAUGCAGUUAUAGAGCCAGUUAUAGAAUACAUCAUAUGUACUUAAGGGUAGAAGAUGGUUCCUUGCCUUUUUCAGAGUACAAAUCAGGCUAUGCUAGUGGAAUGAUUACACAAUUGAAGACUUUAUUUUUAAGCUGCAGGAAUUUCAGCCAUAACGUUUCUAAGAAUGGCAAGAGGAGUGAAAAUAAAGUUUAGAAUUAUUGCAGCCUAUAUUUAUAAGGUUUUCUCAAUUUUUCUCAGCAUUUUGAAUCUUGGCUGUACUUUGUGAAAUAUGGGUUCUGAUCAGGAAGUGAUCUCUAGCUGAAGAGCUGCAAAAAUAAUGUAUAAAAUGAUAAUUCAGCAUUUAUUAGUAAGUGCCGCAAUAUUGAUGGAAUAUUUUCUAGAGUGGGGUGUUACGGUUCCGUUAUCUUUCUUUCACAGUAUAAUAUUAAAAAAGAAACCUCAUCCUGUUUCUCCUCAUUUUCCCCGCAUACUGAAAAUCAAUACCAAGGAUUAUGGCUUCAUAUUACUUUAAAUUAUGUUGCACAGGGCCUGUUUUGAGAAACAGGGUGAACAGAGUAUGGAAAAGAGAAAGGGGUGAUCAGGAAGUGUGGGCUAUAUGGGAGUGUUAAUCCAUAGGUUUCACAAGCCUCAAUAUAGCAGUUGGUCUCCAUCCAGCACUGACUGUGCUGGCUGUUCUGAUCUUGCAACAUCCCCUGUCGAUCAUUCCAUGUAACUGCACUACCAGGAGUCAGAGGAUACGGUUCUGCUCCCAGCUCUACCACAAGUGAGACCUUGAACAAGUCAAAGGACUGCAUUUUUGGAAGUAUCCACUCAUUUGCUAUGCUUUGCCAUUUGAGCAACCAGUUUGACAUACCCAGGGUCUGUUUAUUCAUCAUCCAUGGGAGCUGCAUGUUACUCACCCGUCUGAAAAUCAGUCCCUAGUUGCCUCAAGGCAGACAUGCAAAUAUGGAAAGAGUUCAGAUUAGCAGUCACUAUUGGGAAAUAUACCCCUUAGUUUCUCUGGGCUGCAGUGUGUCACUAAUUUUUAAGUAGAGCUUAUCGCUGAAAUUAAUGGGGUAUUCUUCUGAACAAUGAUGUCGAUAAUUGCGAGUCUUGGUUUUUCUCAUGUAUAGGACAGGAAUAAUGUUCAUCUUUCUCAAAGCUGAUUCAAGGCUUAAUUCAUUAGUUUUUGUCAAGAUGUUUGAGAUACUGUGAUGAAAGGAGCUAUAGAACUGCUAAGUAGCA